GACGAACGCUGGCGGCGUGCUUAACACAUGCAAGUCGAGCGGAGCGGCGAACGGGUGAGUAACGCGUGAGUAACUGCCCCCCUCUCUGGGCUAACAGUUGGCAACGUCUGCUAAUACCGGAUAGUGGGGGAUGACUCUCGUACUAUCAGCUUGUUGGUGGGGUAGUGGCCUACCACGGCGACGACGGGUCGCCGGCCUGAGAGGGCGACCGGCCACAUUGGGCUGAGAUACGGCCCAUACUCCUACGGGAGGCAGCAGUGGGGAAUAUUGCACAAUGGGGGGAACCCUGAUGCAGCAACGCCGCGUGCGGGAUGACGGCCUUCGGGUUGUAAACCGCUUUCAGCCAUGACGCGGUAGUGGCAGAAGGAGCACCGGCUAACUAGGGGCCAGCAGCGGCGGUAAUU
Molecule: ribosomal RNA, 404 nt
Filed under: uncultured bacterium
Lineage: Bacteria
Description: partial 16S ribosomal RNA
Rfam family: Bacterial small subunit ribosomal RNA
Source: RNAcentral